This 443-nucleotide ribosomal RNA is filed under the name uncultured bacterium. Its description in RNAcentral is "bacterial SSU rRNA". It matches the Rfam family "Bacterial small subunit ribosomal RNA", at positions 28 to 507 of the family's 1533-position model. The record is from RNAcentral.
GAUGAACGCUGGCGGUAUGCCUAACACAUGCAAGUCGUACGAGAGUUUUUAACUCUAGUGGCGGACGGGUGAGUAACACGUGAGAAUUUGCCUUUAGGAGGGGGACAACAAUUGGAAACGAAUGCUAAUACCCCAUAUGCUUUCGAGUGAAAUGGAUUUUAUCCGCCUAGAGAGAAGCUCGCGGCUGAUUAGCUUGUUGGUAAGGUAAGAGCUUACCAAGGCGACGAUCAGUAUCUGGUUUGAGAGGACGAUCAGACACACUGGAACUGAGACACGGUCCAGACUCCUACGGGAGGCAGCAGUGGGGAAUUUUCCGCAAUGGGCGAAAGGCCUGACGGAGCAAUACCGCGUGAGGGAAGAAUGCCUAUGGGUUGUAAACCUCUUUUUCUAGGGUAGGAAUAAAAUGACGUGUACCUGAAGAAUAAGCAUCGGCUAACUCCGUG